GUUUGUUUUGAUUUUGAACAUUCUUUCCUCGUGGACGAAGCCAAACACUCAAGAGGGUGAAUAACCACAAAACAUGUCUAAAUUACUGUAUUUGAAUGCGUUUCUUUCUGAGCGUUUAAUGGAUGUUUGGGGCAGUUUAGAAAGUGGUAGUUGAGUACCAGAUCUCCCGAUCUAAACAGGAGAAUGAUUGGCUACGAAGACUGCUAGUAUGGAUCACACCGGAGAUAAAACGAUGUACAAUAGGUUCGUUGCUAUACUCCCAGCAGCUCUCUCACCCAGUCUCUGAAGGGGAGGUUGGCCCUGAGCAGCAGCACUGUGGGUCCCCCAGUCUGGGGCAGGAGGAACCAGAGCCCACACAGAUUAAAGAGGCACAGACACAUAAACAUCCAUUCAUUAUUAAAGUUCAUGCAAAAAAAGUAUCAUCCUAUAUAUCCUACAAUUUAAAAACACAAUACAACCACACGUGGAUACAAUGCAUUUAAAAUGAUUGAGGAUGACACAAUAACAAAUGUAUUUCCAUUUUGGCCUUCUUGAUGAAAACACAAUAUAUACGCAAGAUUAUAUCAUAAAAACAAAAUACAUCAUCUCAUCAAUAGGGAGGUACCAUAACUUUUUUGUUGGCUGUUCUCUCUUAAAGCAUUCAUCCCCCUGUUAAAGUAUGA
Long non-coding RNA from Oncorhynchus tshawytscha (Chinook salmon), 662 nucleotides. NCBI's taxonomy places the organism in Eukaryota, Metazoa, Chordata, Actinopteri, Salmoniformes, Salmonidae. The record is from Ensembl.